RNAcentral lists this ribosomal RNA (301 nucleotides) under uncultured bacterium. Its description in RNAcentral is "partial 16S ribosomal RNA". It matches the Rfam family "Bacterial small subunit ribosomal RNA", at positions 509 to 807 of the family's 1533-position model. The record is from RNAcentral.
CAGCAGCCACGGGAAUACGUAGGGUGCAAGCGUUAAUCGGAAUUACUGGGCGUAAAGCGUGCGCAGGCGGUUUUGUAAGACAGAGGUGAAAUCCCCGGGCUCAACCUGGGAACUGCCUUUGUGACUGCAAGGCUGGAGUGCGGCAGAGGGGGAUGGAAUUCCGCGUGUAGCAGUGAAAUGCGUAGAUAUGCGGAGGAACACCGAUGGCGAAGGCAAUCCCCUGGGCCUGCACUGACGCUCAUGCACGAAAGCGUGGGGAGCAAACAGGAUUAGAUACCCGGGUAGUCCCUGUCUCUUAUAC